Molecule: long non-coding RNA, 240 nt
Filed under: Struthio camelus australis
Lineage: Eukaryota; Metazoa; Chordata; Aves; Struthioniformes; Struthionidae
Description: lncRNA (ENSSCUG00000011757.1)
Source: RNAcentral
UUCUGAAUUAAUUGGGCUCGAUUGUCUUUGUGCCUUUUUCUUUCUGUUGGUUUCCACGGUCGGUCAGUCUAGCGAGAACGCUCCUUGACAGGGCGUCGUGGUGUUGAAAAAGUUGUCGGAGCCAAGAGAUGGGGAAGAGAGAGAAGCCCUACACAUCGAAAUGGGAGAGCACGAUGCUAAUUACGUGUUUACGUGGAUGAGGCAGGGUUAAAAACCCAGCUUGCUGAGUGAACAAAAGCA